CGAAAGCCUGACGGAGCAAGACCGCGUGAGGGAGGAAGGUCUGUGGAUUGUAAACCUCUUUUCUCAGGGAAGAAGAACUGACGGUACCUGAGGAAUCAGCAUCGGCUAACUCCGUGCCAGCAGCCGCGGUAAGACGGAGGAUGCAAGUGUUAUCCGGAAUCACUGGGCGUAAAGCGUCUGUAGGUGGUUUAGCAAGUCAACUGUUAAAUCUUGAGGCUCAACCUCAAAAUCGCAGUCGAAACUAUUAGACUAGAGUAUAGUAGAGGUAAGGGGAAUUUCCAGUGGAGCGGUGAAAUGCGUAGAUAUGGGAAAGAACACCGAUGGCGAAAGCACUUUACUGGGCUAUUACUAACACUCAGAGACGAAAGCUAGGGUAGCA
RNAcentral lists this ribosomal RNA (379 nucleotides) under uncultured cyanobacterium. RNAcentral describes it as "bacterial SSU rRNA". It matches the Rfam family "Bacterial small subunit ribosomal RNA", at positions 376 to 770 of the family's 1533-position model. Lineage: Bacteria; Bacillati; Cyanobacteriota. The record is from RNAcentral.